Molecule: long non-coding RNA, 264 nt
Filed under: Olea europaea (common olive)
Lineage: Eukaryota; Viridiplantae; Streptophyta; Magnoliopsida; Lamiales; Oleaceae
Description: long non-coding RNA (OEUR_LNC002979)
Source: RNAcentral
UGGCUUCAAUAUGCGUGAUCUCCAUACCAGCAUUAACCGCCGUCAUGCAUCUCUCAUAGAUGUCAUACACAUGUUCGCUAAGCGGUCGGGUCGGAUCAGUUACAUAGUUUUCAUAGGAAUGAAUAGCAAUUCUACGGUUCAAUGCUUCUCUAUAUGCCCUAACCGUUCUACGAGCCAUAUCUGUUGCAUUUUCACAUACAUCAUACUUUUUCUUUGCUUAAAGAAAACAUGCGAAUAUUUAAACUUUCAUAUCAUGCAAUUCCC